Molecule: long non-coding RNA, 706 nt
Organism: Mizuhopecten yessoensis (Yesso scallop)
Lineage: Eukaryota; Metazoa; Mollusca; Bivalvia; Pectinida; Pectinidae
Exons: 2
Source: RefSeq, a predicted model, not a curated record
GACUUUGAAUUAAGUGAAUAGAUCAUGAUAUAGAACCAACACAGGUGAUGGUAGACUUUGUACUUUGUGAGGAGGUCAGGAUAUAGAGCCAACACAGGGGAUGGUAGACUUUGUACUUUGUGUGGAAGUCACGAUAUAGAACCAACACAGGGGAUGGUAGACUUUGUCCUUUGUGGGGAGGUCUGGUAUAGAACCAACACAGGGGAUGGUAGACUUUGUCCUUUGUGGGGAGGUCUGGUAUAGAACCAACACAGGGGAUGGUAGACUUUAUACUUUGUGAGGAGGUCAGGUAUAGAACCAACACAGGGGAUGGUAGACUUUGUACUUUGUGAGGAGGUCAUGAUAUAGAACCAACACAGGGGGUGGUAGCUUUGUACUUUGUGAGGAGAUCAUGAUAUAGAACCAACACAGGGGAUAGUAGACUUUGUACUUUGUGAGGAGGUCAUGAUAUAGAACCAACACAGGGGGGGGUAGCUUUGUACUUUGUGAGGAGAUCAUGAUAUAGAACCAACACAGAGGAUGGUAGACUUUGUACUUUGUGAGGAGAUCAUGAUAUAGAACCAACACAGGAGAUGGUAGACUUUGUACUUUGUGAGGCGGUCAUGAUAAAGAACCAACACAGGGGGUGGUAGACUUUGUACUUUGUGAGGAGGUCAUGAUAUAGAAUCAAUAUUUGCUAAAUUAAAUUAUCUACUUUGUGAAACUA